CAGGAAGAAGUGGUUAGACACAAGAGAGCUGAUAACACAGAAGAGAGUGACAAGCAGAGAAACUGGGAGUGCAGGCACAAGAUGUAGACAUCAAGAGAAAGCAGACAGAGACAGAAAGCGGAGUACAAAGAAUUCUUGAGCUGUAAAUUACAACAUGCCAUUUAAGCAUUUUGAAGGAACUGAAUGAGCACUCUGUAAAAGCUCCAGGCACUUGGAAUUUCUUUGUCCUGACGGUAAAAUUGGUCCAUUUAUACUGCAGAAAAAUUUCAAUGGAUUUUCCUGGGUCUGGCAGGAUGGAUGUAGAUCAGCUGUUUCCAUGACUGAUGAGCCCAACACUGGAGAACAUAAUCUCAAGAUGCAUCCAGACCUGCUAAGCUUUUUCAGCAAUUUCUGUUUUUGAUCGUCAAUGAAGAAUCUUGCAAAAUGAGUACAAUGGACCAUAGAGUCAUAGAGAUGAAGAGCACAGAAACAGAAUUUGGUCCAACUCAUACAUGCCAACCAGGACAUGAAGGCUUUUCGGACAAAGAAGACAAUCAGACUGUACCUUCUGAUGGAAGUGAAAAAGAUGCUACCAGAGUGUCUCCAGCAAGUUCUGUUUUUGUUACAGAGUGUAAAUGUGUCUGUAAAGAGAAUAAAUGUUGACGUUUCUUUUGGACA
Long non-coding RNA from Chiloscyllium plagiosum (whitespotted bambooshark), 657 nucleotides. RefSeq lists it as uncharacterized. Lineage: Eukaryota; Metazoa; Chordata; Chondrichthyes; Orectolobiformes; Hemiscylliidae. The record is from RefSeq and is a predicted model, not a curated record.